This is a non-coding RNA of Pelobates cultripes (western spadefoot toad), 467 nucleotides long. The record is from the annotation of a GenBank genome assembly. Lineage: Eukaryota; Metazoa; Chordata; Amphibia; Anura; Pelobatidae.
AAAGAACUGAAAAUUUUAAUUUGUUGUGUUUGCAGCAUAUUUACUGAAAUCAAAAGCUAUUUCAAUCAAACUUAUAACAACAUUUUAACUUUUUAAACAUUUUAACAGGUCACGUUACAUUUUAACAUAGGACCCCUUAUUUGAUAGCAGCUUCACAAGUCUUGCAUCCAUUGAACUUGUGAGUUUUUGGACAGUUUCUGCUUGAAUUUGUUAGCAAGAUGUCAGAAUAGCCUCCCAGAGCUGCUGUUUGGAUGUAUACUGCCUCCCACCCUCAUAGAUCUUUUGCUUGAGGAUGCUCCAAAGGUUCUCAAUAAGAUUGAGGUCAGGGGGGAUGGAGGCCACACCAUGACUUUCUCUCCUUUUAUCCCCAUAGCAGCCAUCGAUGCAGAGAUAUUCUUUGCAGCAUGAGAUGGUGCAUUGUCAUGCAUGAAGAUGAUUUUAUUACGAAAAGCAUAGUUCUUCCUUCU